Molecule: long non-coding RNA, 1006 nt
Filed under: Sus scrofa (pig)
Lineage: Eukaryota; Metazoa; Chordata; Mammalia; Artiodactyla; Suidae
Description: lncRNA (ENSSSCG00060059267.1)
Source: RNAcentral
AUGAAGGUACUCAGGAGGUCGCACAUAUUCGAUAUCAGGCUUGAGCUGAGUCACCUGACUGUACACAGAACAUAUAUGCAGCUGUACCCGAAUACGUACCCGAGAAUUAGAGGAACACUAACAGCAGGAUCGGAAGAAAAAAAGAAGUGUUCGCAGACAGAAUUAUUCCAAUGCACGGGUGCACAUCGAGUUGUCCAGAUGCAGACAAAAGCUGUGGUGCCCACAAGGAAUGACCCCAGCCACAGGCAGAUGUGCAGGAAGCCACACAAAGGGAGAGCCUGAAGGAGGAUGCAGGACUCGGGGCCAAGGGCUUCCUGCUAGAGGGACGUUGGCUUCCAAGGGUGAAACUGUUGAGCCAACCAGUUAAAGGUUUCAGGUCAAGUUCUGGAGACUAGAAAGAGCACAACGUCCAUCCACCGCUGAUCCUUUUGCCUUCCACUAAGCUGGGCUUUAGACACUCAGAAGAGGGCAACCCAGGAAAGAAUCAUUUUGAUUCGGGUUAUUUAUUUGUUACUAUUGUUGGUUAAGGAGAUUGUGUUCUGAAGAAGGAUGGGUGGGGAGCAUAGAUGGAUGCCCUAACUCAAUGCUGGGAGAUUCCUAAUUCUUAAUGGGAACAUUCGGCUCCAACGAGGGUUCAAGAAGCCAGGGGCCCUUAUUUUGCCUCUUUCUCACCUUUCAUUGCUAAAUGCAGUCCUUAAAAAGAACCUUCGCCUAGCUCCACGCCCUCCUGUCCUCACUUCCAUCCCAAUCCCCUUUAUAUCAAAUAUGUCCACAAACGAACACUCCCAAGCAAACUGAACUAUUUUAUUACACUAAUUUUCUUUGUGGGAUAUUGGGGUAUUCUCACCCCCUCCUACCCAUUUCCAAACAGAAGCCACCAUCCUGAGAGUUUCAAAGAGUGGCUGUUCCAAAAGGCCUUAGCAAGUGCACAGGCUUGAUGCUACCUUCAGCUCCUUUUGCCUUCCAGACAGUAGCCACCACAAGUUUCCCCGCAAAAGAGGCAGGC